GUCACCGCCCUCAGCCCGCAAGGCUCGCGUGGCACGCCGGGAAAUGGAGUCCACAGAGGGCCGAGCAGCCCCUAAAGAUGACAGGUCGCGCUGCCCGUCGGGAAACGGAGUCCUGAAUAAUCCGGCGGCCGCCUGUGCCCACAGCGGACCCUAAAGGACUUUGGAAGAGUCAGAGACGCACACUCGGCCCACUGCGGCAACGACGAGCCCUUAAGUGGGCCUCAGAAACGCAGCCGCAGCCACUCCAUCCCUGAGCGGUGUAGGCCUGAUGCAUGCCGGUAAAUGGAGUCCAAUCGUUCACUUUAGUCUAUUGGCUCCUGGUGUCUACCGGCGCCAGAUGCACGCUGGGAAACCGAGUCGGCGUCCAUGAACGCGCAGCCCUCUGGCCGCGAGGCCAGCCGGGAAAUGGAGUCGUCGCCACGCCCUCACCGCAUUGCGGGUGUGAAGCGGGCGCCAAAGCACGCCGGGAAAUGGAGUCCUAGGUGGGUUGCAAGUCCCCAGUGGAUGCUGCAGUUCCGGAGACAGGCCAGGAAAUGGAGUAGGUGUCGCGCUCCCCUUCCCAGUGACGCCAUCCCCUUCUCCACCACCCCACCACCGACUCAGCUGCAUCUGCGUUGCCAGGAGACAUGCCUCAUCCCACUUCCAGAAAUAGCCCAGCGGCCCCCACCCCAGGGACUGUCUUACAUCACCCAGGAGAGGGAGCAGUUGCCUGCGAGCCACCCCGGGAGCCCCGCUUUCCUGCCAGUACCCCAGCCUGGAUCCUCUCUUCAGUGCCAACCCACAUCAUCGGGGACCACCCACCGGGGGCCUGGCAUGAGCCGAGCACUGAGCAGCUGCCAGUCAGCGUGCCUUCCCCCUCUGGUGAAGCCAGUCCGACAGGCCCUGAGCCCUCUGUUCCCACUGCUCCUUGCAGCUGGCCUUGGGGGAAAACCCUUUCCCUCUCUAGGCCUCAGGCACCUCACCUGCACUGAGGGGCCGGGCCUGUCUAGUGCUCUUCCAGCCAGGAAUGCGCGCGUCCCUUUCAUCCCGACUCCAGCUCUCCAAUCUGGACUUCAGACUUUAUGAGCUCAUCGCUCAGAUCCUAUGAUCUCUAGACCCUGAUCUGGAUCCAGCCAUCUUGUCUCUGGGGAGGAAAAUUCAGUUCUUCAAAGAACCCGGGCUUUGGAUCAGCCGCCUCUGAGUUGUGACUCAGCCUCAGGGCCCUGGGCAAGUCGUGAGCUUACACCACUGCCCGACUGGAUCCUGAAGAAAACUAAACACAGCAGCUCUCAAGUUCUGGACGCGUGGCGAGUAAUUUCUAAACUUUUUAUUUGAAAAGGCAAACAGAUCUUCCAUCUGCUGGUUCACUCCCCCAAAUACCUACUAGGCUGAAGCCAAGAGCCCUGACCUCAAUCUGGUCUCCCAAGCGGUCACCCAACCAUUGGAGCCAUCAGAGGGACAUGGGAUAAGGGAGGCAGGUGUCUCCACAUCGAAACUGCUGGCUGAGGCUGUGCACAGCACAUCAGCUGGGGGCAGCUAGGACUGUAGCGCCAGUCCCUUCCCAACGUGCUGGCUGGACCAGAGCGUCGCUGAAUCCCACAUUCCAACACACUGCAGGCCCCACCUCCAAAGCACACCCAGCUUAACUUAAAGACAUGGGAAGGGCGCUGGAGGCAGCAUGGCCUUGGCUGAGGGUCCAGGUAGCAAACCCAAGAUAGUUCGGGCAGUAUAGCAGGGACAGCGGGCCUGGGAGGGGCGGAAAGAGCUCCUGAAGACACGCAUACAGUCACGGGGUGGAGGGCAGACAUGUGACCAGGGCUGAUGUGACACCCACCUAUCAGACCACUUCCCCAGGCAUUCCGAUGAGGUUAGGUGCUCUGGCCACUGACCCAGGGGACGGCCUGGACCUGUCCAGCAACAAGCAAAGGCCACGAGCCUGCCACGGCCGCACCGAGUACUUGGCACAGAUCAGUGCAUCCAAAGGUCCAAAGUUUUAUUGUUUUGAAUACAUUCUCCAGAAGUCCCCUACUCCCCCCCACCCCCAGUACAGAAUAAGGCUUAGACCAGAGCUCCCCCCACCCCACCCAGGGGCCCCAGCUGGGAGGCAGAGGGGGCUUCCAGUUUGGUUUUGGGCAGCCCCUUCCCAUCCCCCCACCCGCCUGCCCAGGGCCAGUCCUAGGAGCAGCUGGGGGUGAAGGGGUUGGACCAGUGCUGUGGUGGGGGCGGGACAAGGAGAGUAGGCACUUGAGACUUGUGGCCCAUGGGGGUACCCCUCACCCUACUGUCCCCCCAGCCCUCCCCCACAGAAUUUUUGGUUCAUCAUAAAACUGUCCCUCCCCUGCUGCAACACUGUGGGAUAUGAGAAACCCAGGCACUCACGGCCCCUGCAGGGGCCAGGAAAGCAGGGCUGGGGGCGGGGGGGAGGCAGAGGA
Oryctolagus cuniculus (rabbit) is the source of this 2411-nucleotide non-coding RNA. NCBI's taxonomy places the organism in Eukaryota, Metazoa, Chordata, Mammalia, Lagomorpha, Leporidae. The record is from RefSeq and is a predicted model, not a curated record.